RNAcentral lists this ribosomal RNA (411 nucleotides) under Triticum aestivum (bread wheat). RNAcentral's name for it is "partial small subunit ribosomal RNA". Lineage: Eukaryota; Viridiplantae; Streptophyta; Magnoliopsida; Poales; Poaceae. The record is from RNAcentral.
AUGAACCACACUCUCUCCCCUGGUCUGCGGAAGUAUGUGGUGGUUUUCUUCGAUGACAUCUUGGUGUGUAGUUUCACACUUGACCACUUAGUACACCUGAGGCAGGUAUUACAUCUCUUGUCUGAACAUCAGUGGCGAAUGAAACUUUCCAAGUGUGCUUUUGCACAUAGGCAGGUGGGCUACCUGGGUCAUGUGAUCAGUGGAUCUGGAGUAGCCACGGAUCCCAGCAAAAUAUCAGCUAUUGAAUCUUGGCCAACCCCUACUAAUGUCAACCAGGUGCGUGGAUUUUUGGUUUGGCAAGGUACUACAAAAAAUUAUUCGCAACUAUGGUAUCAUAUGUCAUUCCUUGACUACUCUUCUGAAGAGUUCUUGACGAGAUUCGCUGGCGUUACUAUGAGGAAACUGUUAUGA